This 501-nucleotide ribosomal RNA is filed under the name Triticum aestivum (bread wheat). RNAcentral's name for it is "partial small subunit ribosomal RNA". Lineage: Eukaryota; Viridiplantae; Streptophyta; Magnoliopsida; Poales; Poaceae. The record is from RNAcentral.
AUGUUCGUCGCUGAUUCUUUUGAAACUGAGGCAAGGGCGAUAAGAUGGUUGGAUGGUCAAAUAAUAGUGAUAUCAAACACCAAGUUCAGUAUGUUGGAAGGGGAAUUCGGCAAUUACACGACCACAUGUAAGCCCUUAAAAGAGAAGAAGCUCAAGUGCAAGGAAGAUUCAACAAUUGAUCGGUUUGAAAUGCGAGGCGAUAUCUGGGCAAGGAGAAGGACAUGCCUGCGGGAUAACUCUGCCUUUCACUUGAUCCAGUGGAGGAGGACAGCGGGGCUUCGGCGAGUACAAGUGCAGCAGCCACGGGAAGCCUCAUCGCAGAAUGACAGCAACACGCUCCUUAAGGAACUGCAUGUCACGAUGAAGAGUCUCCUCGAAGAAUUGAAAGUCAACACCAAGGCAGCGACGGAGUCAAGCCAGCUUAUCGCCAAAUCUUGUCAAGAAGUUAUCGAGGCCUGCAAGAUCUCUGCGACCAGCACGGGGACCGGUAUAGUGAACUGA